UAAUACGGAGGAUCCAAGCGUUAUCCGGAUUUAUUGGGUUUAAAGGGUGCGUAGGCGGAAUAGUAAGUCAGUGGUGAAAUCCUGCAGCUUAACUGUAGAAUUGCCAUUGAUACUGCUAAUCUUGAGUAUAAUUGAAGUGGGCGGAAUGUGUCAUGUAGCGGUGAAAUGCUUAGAUAUGACACAGAACACCGAUUGCGAAGGCAGCUCACUAAACUAUAACUGACGCUGAGGCACGAAAGCGUGGGGAUCAAACAGGAUUAGAUACCCUGGUAGUCCACGCUGUAAACGAUGAUUACUAGAUGUUGGCGAUAUACUGUCAGCGUCCAAGCAAAAGUGUUAAGUAAUCCACCUGGGGAGUACGAUCGCAAGAUUG
RNAcentral lists this ribosomal RNA (373 nucleotides) under uncultured bacterium. RNAcentral describes it as "bacterial SSU rRNA". It matches the Rfam family "Bacterial small subunit ribosomal RNA", at positions 521 to 896 of the family's 1533-position model. The record is from RNAcentral.